AGAGCUUGCUUUAAAGAAGUUAGCGGCGGACGGGUGAGUAACACGUGGGCAACCUGCCUGUAAGACUGGGAUAACUUCGGGAAACCGGAGCUAAUACCGGAUAAUAUAUAGUACCUCCUGGUACUAUAUUGAAAGUUGGUUUCGGCUAACACUUACAGAUGGGCCCGCGGCGCAUUAGCUAGUUGGUGAGGUAACGGCUCACCAAGGCAAAGAUGCGUAGCCGACCUGAGAGGGUGANNNNCCACACUGGGACUGAGACACGGCCCAGACUCCUACGGGAGGCAGCAGUAGGGAAUCUUCCACAAUGGACGAAAGUCUGAUGGAGCAACGCCGCGUGAGCGAUGAAGGCCUUCGGGUCGUAAAGCUCUGUUGUUAGGGAAGAACAAGUGCGAGAGUAACUGCUCGCACCUUGACGGUACCUAACCAGAAAGCCACGGCUAACUACGUGCCAGCAGCCGCGGUAAUACGUANGUGGCAAGCGUUGUCCGGAAUUAUUGGGCGUAAAGCGCGCGCANGCGGUUUCUUAAGUCUGAUGUGAAAGCCCACGGCUCAACCGUGGNNGGUCAUUGGAAACUGGGAGAC
RNAcentral lists this ribosomal RNA (582 nucleotides) under uncultured Bacillus sp. RNAcentral describes it as "bacterial SSU rRNA". It matches the Rfam family "Bacterial small subunit ribosomal RNA", at positions 75 to 641 of the family's 1533-position model. The record is from RNAcentral. Lineage: Bacteria; Bacillati; Bacillota; Bacilli; Caryophanales; Bacillaceae.